UACAGAGACUGCAAGCGUUAUUCGGAUUCACUGGGCGUAAAGGGUGCGCAGGCGGCCAAGUGUGUGAGGCGUGAAAGCCUGGGGCUUAACUCCAGAAUUGCACCUCAAACUACAUGGCUAGAGCAUUGGAGAGGGUAGCAGAAUUCACGGUGUAGCAGUGAAAUGCGUAGAUAUCGUGAGGAGUACCAGAGGCGAAGGCGGCUACCUGGACAAUUGCUGACGCUCAGGCACGAAAGCGUGGGGAGCAAAAGGG
RNAcentral lists this ribosomal RNA (253 nucleotides) under uncultured bacterium. RNAcentral describes it as "partial 16S ribosomal RNA". It matches the Rfam family "Bacterial small subunit ribosomal RNA", at positions 524 to 776 of the family's 1533-position model. The record is from RNAcentral.